AUCUAAAUAGUUUAAUAAAAGCAUUAGUUUGUGGUACUAAAGAUAUAUAAAUAUAUUUUAGAUU
RNAcentral lists this transfer RNA (64 nucleotides) under Siemssenius fulvipennis. Its description in RNAcentral is "tRNA-His". Lineage: Eukaryota; Metazoa; Arthropoda; Insecta; Coleoptera; Chrysomelidae. The record is from RNAcentral.